This 793-nucleotide ribosomal RNA is filed under the name uncultured bacterium. RNAcentral's name for it is "bacterial SSU rRNA". It matches the Rfam family "Bacterial small subunit ribosomal RNA", at positions 8 to 798 of the family's 1533-position model. The record is from RNAcentral.
AGAGUUUGAUCAUGGCUCAGAUUGAACGCUGGCGGCAUGCCUUACACAUGCAAGUCGAACGGUAACAGGUCUUCGGAUGCUGACGAGUGGCGAACGGGUGAGUAAUACAUCGGAACGUGCCCGAUCGUGGGGGAUAACGAGGCGAAAGCUUUGCUAAUACCGCAUACGAUCUACGGAUGAAAGCGGGGGAUCUUCGGACCUCGCGCGGACGGAGCGGCCGAUGGCAGAUUAGGUAGUUGGUGGGAUAAAAGCUUACCAAGCCGACGAUCUGUAGCUGGUCUGAGAGGAUGAUCAGCCACACUGGGACUGAGACACGGCCCAGACUCCUACGGGAGGCAGCAGUGGGGAAUUUUGGACAAUGGGCGAAAGCCUGAUCCAGCCAUGCCGCGUGCAGGAUGAAGGCCUUCGGGUUGUAAACUGCUUUUGUACGGAACGAAAAGCCUCUUUCUAAUAAAGAGGGGUCAUGACGGUACCGUAAGAAUAAGCACCGGCUAACUACGUGCCAGCAGCCGCGGUAAUACGUAGGUUGCAAGCGUUAAUCGGAAUUACUGGGCGUAAAGCGUGCGCAGGCGGUUUUGUAAGACAGAGGUGAAAUCCCCGGGCUCAACCUGGGAACUGCCUUUGUGACUGCAAGGCUGGAGUGCGGCAGAGGGGGAUGGAAUUCCGCGUGUAGCAGUGAAAUGCGUAGAUAUGCGGAGGAACACCGAUGGCGAAGGCAAUCCCCUGGGCCUGCACUGACGCUCAUGCACGAAAGCGUGGGGAGCAAACAGGAUUAGAUACCCCGGUAGUCCAA